This 231-nucleotide long non-coding RNA is filed under the name Lathyrus oleraceus (garden pea). RNAcentral's name for it is "Pisum sativum (pea) long non-coding RNA (PSAT_LNC022559)". The record is from RNAcentral. Lineage: Eukaryota; Viridiplantae; Streptophyta; Magnoliopsida; Fabales; Fabaceae.
UAAAGUUUGACUAAAAACAAUAUUAUUAGUUGAUUUUAUAAAAAUAAAAUAAAAUAAAUAUUAAAAUAUAAUAUGAUAUUAGAUUAUGUUUACUUACAUCAACACAACAAACUUAAUUUUAAUGCAAAUCGAUUUCGUCUUGAGGUCUAAAAGAGCUUUUUACUGCGAGGUCUUUAAAAUAAAUAUUAAAAAAAAAUAUUGCCGAGAGUUAAAAUCCAAAAUAAAAUAAUC